This 5224-nucleotide long non-coding RNA is filed under the name Lotus japonicus. RNAcentral's name for it is "long non-coding RNA (LJAP_LNC001631)". The record is from RNAcentral. Lineage: Eukaryota; Viridiplantae; Streptophyta; Magnoliopsida; Fabales; Fabaceae.
GUAUUGUGUGUGAAAGCGUGUUCAAAAGAGUGUGUUGCUAGCACUCUUCUAGCGGAUAUUACAUGUCAAUCAUGCUUCACUUACGGCAACAGCAUGACAACCAUAGGAUGUAAAAAAAUCUAGUGCAUUGUAACUGAUAGGUAUUCAGAGAAAGAUGAAGAAUGAACAGAAGGAAACUUGUAUUAUUUACUAGGAUUCUGGUGAAAUCACCAAGAAUCAGUGUAGAAACAGUACAGAAAGAAAGGAAAUAACAGUGAUAGCAGAAGCAAAUUCGAGAGUGCUUCACUUCUCUCCUAGUCCAAGAUUAAUCCAAUUCUAGCCUACCCCCCCUCUCUCUCUUCCUUUGGUGUUUAUACACACCACCUGGCCUGAUUCUCUGCAAAGGGAAUCUGCCAGCUUACAAUUAGUUACCCUACUCUCCUAAGGUAGUGGGACUAAUGUUUAUCCCCACUUUACCCCUACGCUUGUAAACCUUAGAGUAAUCCUUGCUCUUACUAGAGAUAAGGUUCCUAUCAUCACUCCCCCCUGGGAAAAACACCUUGUCCUCAAGGUGGAAUGUUGGGAACUGGUUCUGGAACUGCUGCAGUGACUCCCAGGAAUUCUCAAAAUCAGGGAGGUUCUUCCAACUGACUAAGAGUUCAGUUUCCCCAAAGGGGUUAAGUCUGGAGUCCAGAACAGCUGCUGGCUCGACUUGUAGCUCCCACUCUUCAGAUAAACAAUGGGGUAAAGGUUGCACCUGAACUGUAGGAGCCAAGGAUUUCUUCAAUAGAGAUAUGUGGAAGACUGGAUGAAUCAAACACCCUUCUGGUAGCUGCAAUUUGUAGGCCACAGGGCUGAUCUUGCCAACCACUUCAAAUGGGCCAUAAUACCUAGGACUGAGUUUUUGAUUGGUUCUUUUAGCUAGGGUCUGGAGUUUGUAGGGCUGUAUCUUCAGAUAGACUUGAUCCCCUAAUUCAAACUGGACAUUCCUUCUAUGCUUAUUGGCUUGUUGCUUCAUUAGAUUCUGAGCUUGUGCCAAGUUUGCUUUCAGCUCCUCUAGCAUGUUGUUCCUUUCAGCAGUUAAUCUGGUAACCUCUGCUACUGCUGUGGAGGUCACAUCACCUCUAACUAUAGCAGGAGGGUCCUGGCCAUAAAGAGCCUUGUAAGGAGUAGAUUUGAGUGAAGAGUGGUAAUUGGUAUUGUACCAAUACUCAGCCCAUCCUAACCACUUAGACCACAACUUCGGUUUACUCCCUGUGAGACACCUCAAAUAGGUUUCCACACACCUGUUGACCACUUCAGUCUGACCAUCUGUUUGUGGAUGGUAGGCUGUGCUAUAUUUUAAUUUGGUUCCUGCUAGCUUGAAGAGUUAUGACCAGAAUGAGCUUAGGAACACACUAUCCCUAUCUGACACAAUAGUUUUAGGAAAGCCGUGUAACCUGACCACCUCUUGAGUGAAACUUUCUGCCACAGUUUUGGCAGAAUAAGGGUGUGACAGGGCUAUGAAGUGGGCAAACUUGGUGAGUCUGUCAACCACCACUAGUAUGGUAUCCUUUCCCAUGGACCUAGGUAGGCCACCUAUAAAACCCAUGCUAAUAUCUGCCCAGAUUUGUGAAGGAAUAGGCAAGGGUUGAAGUAGGCCUGCAGGACUUAGAGCUUGGUACUUGUUCCUCUGGCAUACCUCACAACUCUGGACAUAAUGCUGAAUUUCUGACCUCAUAUUUUCCCAGUAAAAUAGAGAAGAAAUUCUCUUCAUGGUUCUGAAAUUGCCAGCAUGCCCUCCCACUGCAGAAUUGUGAAAUUCUUCUAAUAUCUUAGGUAUCCUUGAGGAUGUUUUGGGAUCACCAUUCUGCCCUUAAAGUAUAAGAGUCCCUUUCUAUACUCAAAGUCUCCUUGUGACUCUGGAUUAGUGAGUAGAGUUUGGAUAAUAGUGCUGUACUUGGCAUCUUGGAGUAAUUCUUCCUCUAACCCUUCCCACUCUUGGCACUGUGCAGUAGAUAGAGCAGAAAAGUUAAAUUUCCUGGAUAGAGCAUCAGCAACCUUGUUCUCUAUCCCAGGUUUAUAUUUAAUUGUGAAAUUGUAUCCCAUCAACUUGGUGAUCCACUUCUGUUGAUCCUCACCCAUUAUCCUCUGUUCAGUCAAGUAUUUGAGGCUCUUUUGGUCUGUGUGUAUCACAAAGCUCCUACCUAAUAGAUAGGGUCUCCACUUCUGUACAGCUAUCACAAUGGCCAUUAGUUCCCUUUCAUAUACAGACUUGUUCUGAUUCCUAUCAGAGAGAACCUUACUCAUGUAAGCUACUGGCCUUCCUUCUUGCAUCAGUACAGCCCCAAUGCCCUUGCCUGAUGCAUCAGCCUCUAUCACAAAUUGUUUGUCAAAAUUUGGAGCUGCCAGUACAGGUAAGGUAGUCAUGGCCACCUUCAGCUUCUCAAAUGCUUCAGUGGCUGCUUGGUCCCACUUGAAGUUAUCCUUUUUCAAGAGUUGAGUAAGAGGUAGUGCUGUCUUGCUGUAUCCCCUGACAAAUUUUCUGUAAUAACCUGUCAGUCCAAGAAAUCCCCUAAGACUUUUCAAAUCCUUAGGUGUGGGCCAAUCAAUCAUGUCUUUGAUUUUGCUUGGAUCUGCAGCUACUCCUUGACCAGAAAUUAUGUGGCCUAGAUAUCCUAAUUGUUUCUUCCCAAAGGAGCAUUUCUUCUGAUUUACUACUAGCUGGUUUUCCUUGAGCAGUUGCAAGACUUGUCUCAAAUGAUCUUUAUGUGCUUCUUUAUCUUGGCUAUAGAUGAGAAUGUCAUCGAAGAAGACAAGGGCAAACCUCCUUAAGUAUGGCUUGAGCACCUGAUUCAUUAAAGCUUGGAAGGUGGAUGGUGCAUUGGUUAGCCCGAAGGGCAUGACCACAUACUCAUAAUGGCCCUCGUGUGUCCUGAAUGCAGUUUUAGGAAUGUCUUGGUCUUGCAUCCUUACUUGGUGAUAUCCAGACUUAAGGUCCAGCUUGGAGAAUACUUGAGCUGUCCCCAACUCAUCAAGUAGCUCCUCAAUAACAGGGAUUGGGAAUUUGUUUGGGAUUGUCAUUUUGUUCAGAGCCCUAUAAUCUACACAGAAUCUCCAGCCCCCAUCCUUUUUCUUCACCAAAAUUACAGGGCUGCUAUAGGGACUAUUGCUAGUUCUGAUGACUCCAGAAUUCAGCAUGUCUUUUACCAAUUUCUCUAUCUCAUUCUUUUGAUAAUAAGGGCAUCUGUAAGGCCUGAUAUUAGGGAUGGUAGCCCCUUCUUUUAAGGUUAUAGCAUGGUCACAAUCCCUUCUUGGUGGCAGUCCUUGAGACCCUUGAAAAACCUCUGGGAAUUCUGCUAGAAUGGCAGCCAUGUCAUCUGAAAUUCUCUGCUCAUCUUCUGUAUCCAUUAGUGGAUUUUCACAUGUCACAUAGAACCCUUCUCCCUUGUUUUGCAAGGCUUUGCAUAAAGCCUUCAGUGAAGUUUGAGUACAGCUUAAAGAGGGGUCCCCUCUUAGCAUCAUUUUCUGUCCUUCAACCUGCCAUUGCAAGGUUAAUUCUCUGAAAUUUGCCUUUAUAUCCCCUAGACUGGAUAACCAUUCCAUGCCCAAUACUAAAUCUGUUCCACCCAAUUCCAGGACAUAGAAUUGUUGGGUCAAACUCAACCCUUGCACUAGCAAUUGUAGGUCCUUGCAAACCCCCUGAUUCUGAAUCUUAUCUCCAUUACCAAUCUCCACUUCAUAGGUCACAGUCUCGGUGAUGGGUAACAUCAUCUCUUUGACCAGUCCCUGUGAUAUGAAAUUACUUGUGGCACCACAGUCUAUGAGUAUGAGGAUUGACCUUGCUUUUUCCCUCUGACCCAGUUGACCUCGUAGCUUGAAGGAUCUACUGGUGGUGAUGCCUUCCUUGCUCUUGAGGGAUAAGAGUAAGGUUUUGUGUUCUACAGCAAGUUCAGAUUCUGCUUCAAAGAAUUGUCCAUCUUCUUCUUCUUCCUCUUCAUCUACCGUCUCCAUCAACACGAAUUGGUAGUGCUUCAUUUUGCAUACAUGCUCCCUGUUCCAUUUUUCUCCACACUUGAAACAUAGGCCCUUCCUGCUACGAUCCUGGAGCUCGGAUUGAGACAACCUCUGGCCCCCCGUCCACUUCUUCUCUUGUCCCUUAUUCUCCCCUGUUUUAGCUUCAGUAGAGCUUUUAUCUGCACUUGAUUUCUCUGCAGUUGUAGAUCCUGCAAUUUGGCUCUUCCACUUGUUUCCAUCUAUCCAAGUCUGAUGUGCUUUGCUCGAGGAUACUCCUUUUUCCUUCCAUCCUCGCUUGUCCUCAUCUCCGCCCUUGCUGUUGCGCAUAGCCAGAUUUUUCUCUUCCAAUAACAGCGCGCGGUCCAUGAUCUCCUCCAGUUUCCCAGAUCUGUACAACUUCAGCUCGGCCCUGAUUUCUUCCUUGAGGCCAUUAAGGAAGAUUCCCUUGAUGAUAUCUCGGUCAGUGUGACGCAGCGGUGCUGCGACCAUCUCGAAUCGUUCACGGUACUCCAUCACACUUCCGGAUUGUUUGAUGCUCAAUAAUGGUCCAAACGGGUUCUGCACUAACCCGGGUUGGAACCUUCGAACCAGAGCCUCCUUGAACGCUUCCCAAGUGCGUUCCGGGGUCUGUUCUUCCCACCAUUGGAACCAGUUCAGAGCACGUUCCUCCAUGGCUACCACCAGGAGUCGCACUUUCUCAGUAUCGUCAACUUCGUUGAGUCGGAAGAAUCGCUCGACCCGAACAAUCCACCCGUAAGCAUCAUCCCCAUUGAACACAGGGAGAUCGAUCUUCCUUCCAGUGCGAAUAUGCCUCCUCGGGGAAGCAUCCUCGUGUCGCAGCGAAACAGAUCGGGAGCUACGAGAGUCAUCGCCGGAGUUCGACGAGUGCUGACUUCCCGAGCGGUGACGGCGACGGGGCGUUCUAGAUCUGCCCCUGCUCCGGCGUCGCGUCUGUUGGAGCAUCAGCUGUCGGAGCUCGUCGACAAUAGUCAUCAUCUCUGAGUCGUUCUUCUCAACGCUCUCCAUACGGUUCUCCAUUUGUGCGCGGGUGAAGGUGAUACAAAGCUCCCUUUGGAUCGGGAGCUCUGAUACCAAUGAUAGGUAUUCAGAGAAAGAUGAAGAAUGAACAGAAGGAAACUUGUAUUAUUUACUAGGAUUCUGGUGAAAUCACCAAGAAUCAGUGUAGAAACAGUACAGAAAGAAAGGAAAUAACAGUGAUAGCAGAAGCAAAUUCGAGAGUGCUUCACUU